Molecule: non-coding RNA, 2176 nt
Organism: Cicer arietinum (chickpea)
Lineage: Eukaryota; Viridiplantae; Streptophyta; Magnoliopsida; Fabales; Fabaceae
Source: RefSeq, a predicted model, not a curated record
UUGUUUCAUUCUCUUCUCCUUUCCCUCUCUCUCUCUCUCUCUCUCUCUCUCUCUCUCUCUCUCUCUCUCUCUCUCUCCUCUCUAUUUUCUCUCUCUUCUUUUCACGUUGACAUGUCUUCUGCUGACGGUAACGGCAGCAAUCUUCCCAACUCCGACGAACUCCGUCGUUACUUUUGCCACCAGUGCGAACGCACCGCCUUCAUUUCAACUUCCUCCACCGAUCUAAUCUGUCCCAAUUGUAACGGUACCUUCCUCGAAGAACUCGAAACCCCAAUCCCUAACCCUAACCCUAAUCCCAAUCCAAAUCCUAUUCCACCGUUUUUCUCCUACACUACCGACUUUCCCGCUGCGAAUUUCUCGUUUCCUAUUGGAAAUUCUCAACCGUUGGAAGAUCUCUCCGUUUUAUUCGGUAACCGAUCGUCGCCGUCGCCGGCUUCUCCUUUCGGUCAAGCUUUUAAUCCUGUCGCUUUUAUUCAAAACUAUCUCCAGAACAUAAGACCGGGAGCGGGAGGCAACGUUCAGUUCUUCAUCGACGAUGCGGAUGAUCCGACUGGACCAUUUCGGUUUCCUGGAAACGCGAAUCCGGGAGAUUACUUUUUCGGACCAGGACUUGAGGAUCUGAUCCAGCAACUUGCUGAGAAUGAUCCGAGUCGGCGUGGGACUCCGCCGGCGUCGAAGUCUGCCGUGGAAAAACUUCCGGUUAUAUCAGUUACCGAGGAGCUGCUUGAGUCCGAUUCGGCGCAGUGUGCUGUGUGUAAAGACACAUUUGCCCUCGGUGAAAAGGCUAAGCAGAUGCCGUGUAAGCAUAUAUAUCAUACGGAUUGUAUCUUGCCGUGGUUGGAAUUGCAUAAUUCUUGUCCUGUUUGUCGGUAUGAGUUGCCUACAGAUGAUGCUGAUUAUGAGCAGAGGGCUCGAGGAGACGGUGUCGGGGGCGGUCCUGGUGGUGGUGGGGUUGAUGAUUCGCAGACAAGGAGAUUUAGGAUGUCGUUGCCGUGGCCGUUUAGGCAGGUACCUUCAUCAUCUUCGGUUGCCGGAACUAGUAAUGCUGGGAAUGUUAAUAAUAAUAACAAUAACAGCAAUAGCAAUAGUGGGCAAUCGGAUACUGAAAGUAGAGGUAAUCAGAGUUUUGAGCCGGAGACUAGACAAGAAGACCUCGACUGAGAAUCAAUCAUGUUUCAUAUGUGGCUGUGGCAGGUUAAAUAUAGGUGGCAUUUCCUUUGAGCUUGUCUACCUUUGAGUUUGCUGAGUUUGCAGCUAAAUAUUUCACGUUGGGAACUGUAAAGGGAAAAAAUUCUUUGAUUGGAGGUUCCUUGAUCAGUGAAAGUGAGAUUUAUAAACUUUCAAUUCUGUUUGGUACGGAUUGUGAAGCUGCUAGUUUGAGUUACCUUCACUUGUUUUUCUGAUGCUUGAUUGGUUCAUAAAUUGGGGCAUGGGGAGGAAUGCUGUAAGAGGUUUCAAUCCAUCUUGCAAGAGUAUGACUAUGUAAGUAGAAGAGGCCUGAAGCUUGUUUCAAAUCUGCAGCAUUUUGUUGAGUAGAAAUGAUUCAAAUACCUAGUAAUGGUUUUGUGAUGGUUACAAAUUUUAUAUUCGAUUACAAUGAACUUGUGACUGUCCUUCACCCUUUUGACGCGUAGAGUUCUUUGUAGAUUCAUGAUCCUAUGUGCAUUAUUUGUUCAAUAUAUUUUGUGAACUAUAUUGUCUGUGACACCUUUCCCUUGUUCUUCUCUUCCGGAUUUGGUUUCAAAAGUGAGGUUUAUUUAGAGGGAAAAGUAAAAGAUCAUGUAAACAACCAUUUUAGUCUUUGAAAUUGUAGGAUGUUGUCAUUUUGGUCAUUGGCUUAGUAAAAAACUUAAAAAUAGUCAUUGAAUCAUCAAAAUAGUAUCUGAAAGAAAUAAUUUGUUAUUAUAAGCCUUUUAAAGAUACAAUUUAGUGUUAAAAUAGUAUUUGAUUGUUAUAACAUUAGAGACUAAAUUGACCAACAUUUUGAUGAUUAAUUUGAAUUUUUGACUGAGUCAGAGACCAAAGUGACAAUGCUUUAUACUUACAGAUACUAGAAUGGUAGUUUAUCCGUAUAAGAUUACAGCUUUCAUUGAGAAAAUGAAUGGUUGAAAUUGUGAUCAAAUGUAUUUAUAUGUAUAAUGAAUUAUUACAACAUUAUUUAAGUCUAUUUUCUUAA